RNAcentral lists this ribosomal RNA (497 nucleotides) under uncultured bacterium. RNAcentral's name for it is "partial 16S ribosomal RNA". It matches the Rfam family "Bacterial small subunit ribosomal RNA", at positions 28 to 507 of the family's 1533-position model. The record is from RNAcentral.
GAUGAACGCUGGCGGCGUGCCUAAUACAUGCAAGUCGAGCGAACAGACGAGGAGCUUGCUCCUCUGACGUUAGCGGCGGACGGGUGAGUAACACGUGGAUAACCCACCUAUAAGACUGGGAUAACUUCGGGAAACCGGAGCUAAUACCGGAUAAUAUAUUGAACCGCAUGGUUCAAUAGUGAUAUACGGUUUUGCUGUCACUUAUAGAUGGAUCCGCGCCGCAUUAGCUAGUUGGUAGGGUAACGGCUUACCAAGGCACCGAUGCGUAGCCGACCUGAGAGGGUGAUCGGCCACACUGGAACUGAGACACGGUCCAGACUCCUACGGGAGGCAGCAGUAGGGAAUCUUCCGCACUGGGGGAAAGCUUGACGGAGCAACGCGGCGUGAGUGAUGAAGGUCUUCGGAUCGUAAAACUCUGUUAUUGGGGAAGAACAAAUGUGUAAGUAACGAUGCACGUCUUGACGGUACCUGAUCAGAAAGCCACGGCUAACUACGUG